Long non-coding RNA from Anguilla rostrata (American eel), 3791 nucleotides. RefSeq lists it as uncharacterized. The record is from RefSeq and is a predicted model, not a curated record. Lineage: Eukaryota; Metazoa; Chordata; Actinopteri; Anguilliformes; Anguillidae. The transcript is spliced from 3 exons.
AUCACCCAUAGGUGGGGCGGGUUUAAUGGACAAAUGGAAGGGGCUGUAAUUGCCUAUAGCGAGUGUGUUCCAGACGGAUCUCUGUUUGCUUCGACUCUAACGGUAAUUUAUGUGAAUCAUAAUAUAAUGACUCUCCAGAAUAGCAGUAAAAAGGGUGCCUUUAAGUCGCGAAGCAACUAAUUCAACGAAGUGGCGCAGUGCUGUAGAUUUUAUUCUCCUGGUUUUCGCGCUGGCAUAGCCUAUUGAAUUCAAUAGGCUAUGCCAGCCUGACACAGUUGCCCAUCGUAUACACGUCUCAGGAAAUUGAUGUGUCUUAUCUAGCUAAACGGGCAAUGUUAAAAGGAAAUGCUUCAGCACAUUUUUUUUUAUUGAAGUGCAUUUGUUUUGAGAGUGGCAAAUAACAUAGAAUUCGAAGCGGCUUAAUACGCAUGAAAAACUGUUCCCUGCCAACGUGAAAAACCGGUUUUGGUGUAAGGCCUACGCGACUCAAAAGUUGUAGUCGACAGGGGAAAACCGCAUGCGCAUGUUCACAUAUCUGAAAAUUUCUGAAACUGAAGUGUUUAAUGCUUUAAAUUUUUUAAUGAUUUACAUUUUUCAUCUUAUGUCAUAAACUGAAUGAUAGUCAUGUUUUUGCUCCUGUGUGCUAUUUUUUCCAGGGUACAAUUUAUUCAAAAUAAAAUAGUGUUUUGGGUAAAUUCAACUUAAUCUGAAUAUUCCAUUGUUUGGAUGGCGCUAAAUUGCAAAUUAGCUAGCAUACCCUUUUGGGGUUUUCCCUCAAAACUGUGGGUGAAGAAGAAACUAUUACAUGUUGCUGCAUAUAGUUUAUUUUAUAUCCAUAUGUUAAAUGUUUGCAUUUGCACGGUUUUCCCUUAUUGUUCCAUUGAGGAUGACUUUUCUCUAUUCCUGUUGUAGAGAUACACAGUAUGUGGCAUGGCUACAUUAUGAUGAAUGCAAAAGAGCUUGUCAGGUUAUAAACCUAAAAAAGUUGCUCCUGCAUGUCUUAAAUCCUUUGAGGAGCUUUGUGCUUUUACGUUGCACCAGAGAGACUGGCGAACAAGACUUUUUGUUAUACUGGAAUGGUAUAAUGACAAUAAAUUGAAUUGUCUAAGGCCAGAUAUGUUAAAAGCAUCAUACCUUUUCAGACCCACACCCAUUGCUUAAGUAUCAACAUUAUUGCAUGCAUUAUCUAUCCAUCCAUCCAUUAUUUAUACUCACUUAUCCUGGGCAGGGUCGUAGGGGGUGCUGGAGCCUAUCCCAGCGUACAUUGAGUGAGAGGCAGGAAUACACCAUGGACAGACCACCAAUCUGUCACAGGGCACAUACACCAUUCACUCAUCAUUCACUGACGCACAUGCAUACCUAUGGGCAAUUUAGUGUCUCCAAUUAGCCUACCUGCCAUGUCUUUGGACUGUGGGAGAAAACCAAUUUAGCAGCCGGAGGAAACCCACAUGGACACGGGAAGAACAUGCAAACUCCACACAGAAAGGCCCAGAGGGGCGUGAGGCGACAGUACUACCCACUGCACCACUGUGCCGCCCCAAAUGCAAUAUCUUCAGCUGAAACAAUUCUUGAUCAUUUGGUUUCAGUUGCUGUUCUAUGAUUGAUUACUGUCCUAAUACUUAUCAGCUCCAUCAUCCUUGUUAUAGGUUGGGUGAGACUAUCAUGGUGACAGACGACUGAUUUUUCAAUGUUUGAGACUUGAGUGGAUCAGGUCAACUGCGGAUCUCACAGUAUAGUGCCCGUUCACAAGGAAACUAUGCCAUGGAGUGUAAGAAAAUCAUACUGACAUCCAGGGUAUUUGUGUGUGAUUGUGUUUCACCUUUCCCAUUGUGCAUUGUGGAGGUUUGGUAAUGUCUUGAGGCUCUUUGUCUUCAAUUCGUUUUUUUUAGUCGCUAUGUGUAUUUUCUGAAUUUUGUAUAUUUCAUUGUAUUACUUGUAAUAAGUAAGACUUUUUCAAAAUUUUUGUAGCAGCAUUUAAUGAUGUUUUUGUACUCAUUUAUAAAUGCGUUACAGCAUGUUUUCUCUUGAGCUGGUGUACAGAUGAAACCUGUGGGCUGGGUGGGGUCCGAGGGUGUUCGGUUACGCCCGUAGGCAAGGUGCUGACUACAGUAACUGGAGAGGUGAAUAUGGCUGUUGGCUGUUUGCUGUCAGUACCAUGUUUGUGUAGGCUUUAUGUACAUUCUUUUGACUUACUCAUGCUUACCAUGCUUGUCUGCUCAGGGUACGCAACAUUAUCAUAUAUUGCCUUCCAUCAGCAUGUGAUCAUAUUUUGAUGCUGUUGUCCUCACAUGACGUACUUGAAGGUGAAACAUCAUUGAUGGUGGGAGACAAUUCCAUUCCUUUUAGCUGACGUCAUGUUGCUUGGAGUCUUUCCAUCAACAAAAGGAGAUUCCAGAUACCGGAGAUUCCAGUACCUGGAAUUGCUCUCUAGGUGAUUUACGCCUCCAGACUGUCAACUCUUUUCAUUGUUGUAAAGUUGCUCUACCUGGAUGAACUGGUUUUCUUUUAUAGUGUUUAUCUCUCUACAAAAGGAUUGGAGUUUUCUCGUUAUAUCCGCAAUCUGAAUUCUGUUCUUUUGAAUCAUGCACUCCAGUUUGUCAGGCCUGGUGCUACUAAGUUGUGACAGUGUGGAGAAAAUGUCAUGGGGGGCCCAACCCAUUCUUACCUCUCUCUACUUAGAGGGGAUUUGCUUGGUGUAAUAAGCAGGGGAGGGAAGUCAUCCUCAUCCAUGAUGCUGAUCCAACAUCUUCUGUGUCACGUUCUGGCAGAAUAAUGGUAAAUAUACUAACUGUGCAGAUUAUUGUAAUAUUGCAGUGUGCGGAUUAUCGUAAUAUUACAGUAUACUGCUUUCUCCACAUCCAGCGAAGGGGCAAUGCUUAGGCAUUUUCAACUUAGCUUGCCUUACUCGCACAAACGUGACAAGAGCAUCAUUUACUUAUGCAGAAAGGAUUUCACUGGACUUAAGAUUUUUAUUAUGUGACUAAUACCCUGUUAACCUCAUCCACUGAAGACCUGGCAUUAACCAAGGGGAAAAGCAAGCCAAUUUCAGCACAGGCUUUUCUAUGUUUGUUUGUCUAUUUAUUUAUUUAUUUAUUUUCGCAAGAAUCAUUUAAAAACAUUUCUUGGCUGUUUGUGAAUGGAAAAAGUAUUGAAACAACACAUCAUCAAAGAAUUAACAGGUUUCAGUUUCCUGGACUUUAAAACUAAACAAAUCCCCUGGGGAGGGUGGAAUUAUAUAAUAAUUUUAUAAAGCAAUUGCUUUGCAAUUUGCUUUGCCUAAUUUAUAUUGCAGGUCUACAUUGAAAAGCAUAUCUAAUGGAUCUCUCCCUCCUACAUUUACUUAAGGUUAAGGUUUUAAGAAGGACCUAUUACUCAUAGAUAAUUAGCAUGCAAUCUGCCUGAUAAACAAUGAUUAUAAAAUAUUAGCAAUUGCAUUUGCAAAAUGCUUCAAUUUGGCAUUGAAUGCUGUUAUAGAUGAGUCUCAAUCUAGCUUCAUGAAAAACGGAUAUAUAUCAAAUAAUGUUAUCCGUCAAGGAUACCCGAUCUGCCCAUAUCUGUUCUUGCUCGUCACCCAACUGUUGUCUAAUCAGAACAAAAGCUCUUUAGAAGGCAUUACAAUAGCAGGGGAAAAAAUCAUCAUUUGCUAGCUUGCAGACCACACUAAUCUUUAAAAUAUUCAUCACAUGUCUUUAAUGCUCUUGAUAUCAUUAUCUCUUUCUCUAAGGCUUCAGGAUUACAUUUGAAUGUAAAUAAGUAUGAAUUUGUGGUAGUGAAAGUCUGCAUCAUUUAUG